RNAcentral lists this ribosomal RNA (433 nucleotides) under uncultured bacterium. RNAcentral's name for it is "partial 16S ribosomal RNA". It matches the Rfam family "Bacterial small subunit ribosomal RNA", at positions 29 to 507 of the family's 1533-position model. The record is from RNAcentral.
AACGAACGCUGGCGGCAUGCCUAACACAUGCAAGUCGAACGAGACCUUCGGGUCUAUUGUCGCACGGGUGCGUAACGCGUGGGAAUCUGCCCUUGGGUUCGGAAUAACAGUUGGAAACGACUGCUAAUACCGGAUGAUGACGUAAGUCCAAAGAUUUAUCGCCCAAGGAUGAGCCCGCGUAGGAUUAGCUAGUUGGUUAGGUAAAGGCUCACCAAGGCGACGAUCCUUAGCUGGUCGGAGAGGAUGAUCAGCCACACUGGGACUGAGACACGGCCCAGACUCCUACGGGAGGAAGGAGUGGGGCAUAUUGGACCAUGGGCGAAAGCCUGAUCCAGCACUGCCGGGUGAGUGAUGAAGGCGUUAGGGUUGUAAAGCUCUUUUACCCGGGAUGAUAAUGACAGUACCGGGAGAAUAAGCUCCGGCUAACUACGUG